CCGAGUUCAUGCCCUUACGGGUAGAUCUCCCACCCUAUGUUAUAUAUUACCUUUGUUGCUUUGGCAGGCCGUCAGGCUUCGGUCAGGCUACCGGCUCCGGCUGGUAAGCGCCUGCCAGAGGACCCCAAACUCUGAAUGUUAGUGUCGUCUGAGUACUAUAUAAUAGUUA
RNAcentral lists this unclassified non-coding RNA (169 nucleotides) under uncultured Helotiales. RNAcentral describes it as "sequence contains ITS1". Lineage: Eukaryota; Fungi; Ascomycota; Leotiomycetes; Helotiales. The record is from RNAcentral.